This 253-nucleotide ribosomal RNA is filed under the name uncultured bacterium. Its description in RNAcentral is "partial 16S ribosomal RNA". It matches the Rfam family "Bacterial small subunit ribosomal RNA", at positions 524 to 776 of the family's 1533-position model. The record is from RNAcentral.
UACGGGGGGGGCAAGCGUUGUUCGGAAUUACUGGGCGUAAAGCGCGCGUAGGCGGCUUUGCAAGUCGGGUGUGAAAGCCCUCAGCUCAACUGAGGAAGUGCGCCCGAAACUGCAGAGCUUGAGUACCGGAGAGGAUGGCGGAAUUCCCCAAGUAGAGGUGAAAUUCGUAGAUAUGGGGAGGAACACCGGUGGCGAAGGCGGCCAUCUGGACGGAUACUGACGCUGAGACGCGAAAGCGUGGGGAGCAAACAGG